This 253-nucleotide ribosomal RNA is filed under the name uncultured bacterium. Its description in RNAcentral is "partial 16S ribosomal RNA". It matches the Rfam family "Bacterial small subunit ribosomal RNA", at positions 524 to 776 of the family's 1533-position model. The record is from RNAcentral.
GACAGAGGGUGCAAACGUUGCUCGGAAUCACUGGGCGUAAAGGGCGUGUAGGCGGGUAUGUAAGUCCGGCGUGAAAUCCCUAGGCUCAACCUAGGAACUGCACUCGAAACUGCGUUUCUUGAGUAUCGGAGAGGAAAGCGGAAUACCUGGUGUAGAGGUGAAAUUCGUAGAUAUCAGGUGGAACACCAGUGGCGAAGGCGGCUUUCUGGACGAUAACUGACGCUGAGACGCGAAAGCGUGGGGAGCAAACAGG